Molecule: long non-coding RNA, 3439 nt
Filed under: Lathyrus oleraceus (garden pea)
Lineage: Eukaryota; Viridiplantae; Streptophyta; Magnoliopsida; Fabales; Fabaceae
Description: Pisum sativum (pea) long non-coding RNA (PSAT_LNC003856)
Source: RNAcentral
UCCACCAUUCACUUCUUUAUCUGAUCCAAAAGGGUUUGUUCUUGAUGAAUUGCUGAAGUUGUUGCCGUUAAAAUCUCGGGUUUUUGUUGUACUUCAAGCAUCGUUACCUAUGGUGAACCAUUUGUUUAGAGAAGCUAAGAAAAUUGGAUUAUUGGAGAAAGAAUCAUCUUGGAUAAUCAAUGAGGAGAUUACAAGCAUGUUGGAGAAUGUAGAUAAAUCUGUUUUAUCUUCUAUGAAAGGUGUUUUGGGAAUCAAAACCAACUAUUCUACAAGCUCUAGUGCUUAUACUCAUUUGCAGGAAAAAUUUCAAGCUGAGAAUACAGAAAAAGUUGAGUUCAAACCAGGAUCAAAUGUUUUGCUAGCUUAUGAUAGCAUCACAAUUGUCACAAAGGCUUUGGAGAAAAUGAAUACUAAUUCUAGUAGCUCAAAGACGUUAUUGCAGGAGAUGUUAUCCUCCGAUUUCAAUGGCUUAAUUGGUGAUAUAAGAUUCAAAGAAAGACAACUAUCCUACACUCCAAUAUUAAGAGUCAUCAAAGUGGUUGAUAAUGAUAAGAAAGAUACUGAAUUGGACUUUUGGACACCAAAGUUGAAGUUUGCUAGAUCUCUUAGAGAGAAAACAAAUGAUGGUACUAAAGAAGAAAGAUCAAAUGACUGUCUACCUAAGAAAUGGAAAAUACCGAAUGAUACAAACCCUUUACAAGUUGCAAUUCCUAUGAAUCCCGCAUUUGAUAACUUUGUGAAAGUCUCUCAAAAUCAAACUCCUACCGGUUUUUGUAUUGAACUUUUUAAAGAGAUUCGAAAAAUUCUGAGUGAGCAGUAUUCUGGUCUUCCCUAUAAUUUUAUCCCUUUCUCCGAAUCUUUUGAUGAUAUUUUGCUUAAAGUAAAAGAUGAGGUAAACUCAACAUUAUAUUUUUGUCAAUUUGUAUUUUUUAAUUUUUGUUUCACAAUUUCAUUUGUCUCUUUCAAUAUAUACAUUUCACACAUAAAUGGCAUAACAUUACAUAGCAUGUAGAUCAAAUAUCAUGUUUUCUCAAAACCAAUGCAUGUUGGGACUGACGGUGAGUUUGACAAAAAUCUAGGCAUGCGACAUGAUUUUGGCCUAAACUACAUUUUUAAGUUUAAACAAAAAUAAGUGUCACCGCGAUUCCAAACAUGCACUAGAACAAAUGAAAAUGUUUCAUUUUUUUCCAAACAAAAAUGGAAGAAGGAAGCUAAUACUAUUGCAGACCUAUGAUGCUAUUGUAGGAGAUGUAACAAUACUUGCCAAACGAGCAAGAGAGGUAUCAUUCACUCAACCAUAUACUGAAUCAGGCUUAUCACUCAUACUUCCAGCAGAAACUGAAGAUUCAGCAUGGUUGUUUAUGAAACCAUUUAGCUCGGUAAUGUGGAUUGCAACUACUGGUAUCCUAAUCUACACAAUGAUUGCCGUUUGGUUCUUAGAACACCACUUGAAUCCUGAAUUUGGUGGACCAUUGAAAACACAAAUCAGCACGACUCUAUGGUUUGCGUUUUCUUCUCUAUUUUUUGCACAGAGUAAGUAUAGAUUACAAAAGUUCAAAAUUUUCUGAUUUACUGUAACGCUUUAGAAUUUGGGUUGAGUCUAGUUCACCUCUUCCAAAAUCUGUAUGUAAAGUGAGGACUGUCUCCUCUUAUAAACUUAAGUUCAUGUCUUACCUCAUUCAAUGUGAGGCUGUUAACACCCUCAUCUAGCUUAGAGCUAAACAUCUAGAGCAUGACUCAAUAAUGGUGAUUUGAUAGCAGGUGACACAACUAAUUCAAUACAAAACUAGUAAGGUGAAUACUCCCAAUAAUAAACUUAUGUUCAGACCUUAUCUAUCUAUUUAGUUUGAGAUUCUUAACAAGAGACUCUUAACAAUAUUUACCAUUUUCCACUUAUUCUAUAAAUAUGAAAAAGCAUUUCAACUCUUUAGUGAUUAGAAGUCAAUAACUUUUGUUAUGGAACUUCUGAGCUGCAAUACUUACAAAGUUUAAUUCUUAGAAAAGCUUGAGAUGUUAAAUUUAAUAAAUAUUGCUUCUUCAUUUGGAAAAUCCUACUUUUGCAAACUAAUUAAUAGUAACAAGUUAAUUGUUUCUGAUGCAUACCAGAGGAGAAAAUAAACAGCAACUCAGCAAGAGUAGUAGUUGGAGUAUGGUUAUUUCUUGUGUUUGUUCUGACCUCAAGCUACACUGCAAAUCUUUCAUCAUUGCUUACUGUCCAAAAAUUGAGGUCUGACAGAGACAUUGAAUGGCUUAAACAAAACAAUCUAUCAGUUGGUUGUGAUAACACUAGUACCUUUGUAAAGGACUACUUGAUCCAAGUGUAUAAAUUCUCUACGCAUCAAGUUGUAGAAGUUGGGGAUGAACAAGACACUUUGGAUAAAUUCAAGAACAAAAAAAUUUCUGCUCUAUUUGCUGAGAGCCCAUACGAGAAGGUUUUCUUGAAUAAAUACUGCAAAGAAUACACUUCAACUACAGCAGCCUAUAAAUUUGGAGGAUUGGGAUUUGUCAGUGCCUAAAACUUCUUAUUUUGGACAAUUUACUUUUACAAAAAGUUAAUAGUUGUCUUUUCAAAGUACAUUAGUAUCUAUUUUAGUUUUGCAUACUCAUGUUUGGUUUCAUGCUCUAUGAUUUUGCAGGUUUUUCAAAAAGACGAUCCAAUGGCAAAAGACUUUUCUGAAGCAAUUUUAACACUGGCAGAAAAUGGAAAAUUAAAAGAUUUGGAAAAUAUAUGGUUAACACCUUCCAAUAAAUGCUCAAACAACUCACCAUCUCCAGAAGAAACUGAGAGUCUGACUCUUGACAAAUUUUGGGGACUCUAUGUCAUAUGUGCUGCCACAUCCACCAUCUGCUUACUACUAGCUUUGUUGAAGAAGCGUUUACGUAACCAUAACCACUAUGAAGAAGCUGAUCAACUUCCUCAAGGAAGUGUAAUCUCCGAAUCUGAUGAUGAUAAUAAUAAUAAUUCUCAGAGAGCAAUUAGAGUUGGUACAGGUUUAAACAUUGAGAAUCUCAUUAAAUUAAAUAAAUCUGCAACUUUUGGUGGACGUGUAAAAGAAGGUGUACGUCGUAGAAAUUCACCAAAAUUGGAGAGUAUAAGCAUUUCUGAUGAACAGGGCGAUCUUCCUCACUCCCAAUCAGCUGCCAUGCCAUAGAAAUGAUAUAAUUCAUAUUAUGUAAUAGCUAACCAUAUACAUUCCAACUUUUAUGUGUUUAAUUUUAACAAUUGUAGUAGUAGCAAUUAUGAAAACCCUAUAGUAAUUUUAACACAAAUAUAUGUAUUUUAAAGUUAGUAUCUAAUGUGAUUCGUUUCAUCAGUCUCCUCCUGAAAAACAUGCAAUAUCAUCAGUUCUUCACCUCACUAUAUAUGAUUCAGUAUGGGAAAAAAGUUCUUCCUACAAUAAGCGCAAUGCUGCACUUGCAAAAUUCAACUAUUACAAUG